GUUGUUUUCAGUGUUUCAAGUACAAUAAUGAUGCAAUCAAUAUUUCAUUCUGUAUAUGUGCAAGGAUUAUACAUGAAAGAUGAAAUUUCUGAAAGUGGGAUUUCUAUGUUGAAGGCUAUGUGCAGUUGUUUUUUUGUUCUGUUUUGUUUGACUUUGGUUUUGGGUUUCUUGGGGUGUGUGUGUGUGUGUGUUUUUGUUUUGUUUUUCCAAUACUGAGGAUUGACCAGGAGUGCUUUAUACCUAAGCUACAUAUAUCCUCAGCCCUUCUAUUUUUUAUUCUGAGUCUCACUCUGGCUGGCCUUGAAUUUGUGAUCCUGGAAUUACAGGUGUUUGCCACUGAUCCUGGCUAUGUUGUAAUCUUGAUAGAUGUUGCCUAAUUGGUCACAGAAGGUGCAGUUUAUGUUCCACAGGCAAUGUAUGAGGAUGCCUAUUUUCCCACACAUUUACCAACUUACUCUUUCAUCAUUCUUUUUUUUUAAGAGAGAGAGAAUUUUUUAAUAUUUAUUUUUUAGUUUUCGGCAGACACAACAUCUUUGUUUGUAUGUGGUGCUGAGGAUCGAACCCGGGCCACACGCAUGCCAGGCGAGUGCACUACCACUUGAGCCACAUCCCCAGCCCCCCUUUUUUUAAUUUAAAUGUUUCCAUUGGCUU
Molecule: long non-coding RNA, 651 nt
Filed under: Marmota monax (woodchuck)
Lineage: Eukaryota; Metazoa; Chordata; Mammalia; Rodentia; Sciuridae
Source: RNAcentral